UCUAUUAUUUGUAGUACACAUUUUUGUUUAGUUUUUUAUUGGUAAUUGUAAAUCUAUUUAAAUUUAUUUUCUAUAAUGUGCUUCUGGGGGUAUUUUUGCUCUGGAUUACUCUCAUUAUCCGUGUCUGCGUCUGUGUGUGUGUGUGUGAGUGCCUAUAACUAUGUAUACAUAUAUAUAUGUCUGUUACUGUAUGCGUAACGGUAACGGCUGGUGUAUGUGU
Drosophila guanche is the source of this 220-nucleotide long non-coding RNA. RefSeq lists it as uncharacterized. Lineage: Eukaryota; Metazoa; Arthropoda; Insecta; Diptera; Drosophilidae. The transcript is spliced from 3 exons. The record is from RefSeq and is a predicted model, not a curated record.